Long non-coding RNA from Passer montanus (Eurasian tree sparrow), 532 nucleotides. RefSeq lists it as uncharacterized. The transcript is spliced from 4 exons. NCBI's taxonomy places the organism in Eukaryota, Metazoa, Chordata, Aves, Passeriformes, Passeridae. The record is from RefSeq and is a predicted model, not a curated record.
CUUCAAAGAAGAAUUCAGUGCAACAACUGAACAUCAGUGUGAACUUCCGAGCUAUAAGAAGGGCUAAACCAGGUCAGAUGAGCAGAACACCAGGGAAGUGAUGAUCUGCUGAGGGGCUUUGGCUCCAAGUGGGCUGAAUCUGAGGAUUCUGUGAGACAAGAGUAGAAGGAUAUAUCAGAAAGACUUCAGCCUACAGGAUUCCUUUUAUUCCCUUGCCAACACUGUGGUUGCACUUAGAUAAAAGGAAGAGCUCCCUAAAUACUCUAAGAAAGAAGCCUCAGUCCUGGUGGUGUUUCCAAAGCUGCCCUACAUUCCAUCCCUGGACGUCAGAAACGCUCUGUGGCCCCAAGUACCACCAUGACCCAGCUGAAGGCUCCAGCUGCUGGAGCCUGCUAAAGGCAUUUGCAAGGCACAAGUUGUUAAGAAGUGAGCAAAGUUCUGGAAAAUAGCAGCUCUUCCUUUCAAAUAUCCAAUUAAACUGAUGGUCCUUAUGUUCCUCAAGAGUGAGAAGUAUUAUGGCCAAACUGGGAAG